AAGUCGUAACAAGGUUUCCGUAGGUGAACCUGCGGAAGGAUCAUUAACACGUAUCCAAACGUUAAAACCCCCCCCGUGAACCUUCAUCCUGCUCUUGUAACCCGCGUAGUUCGCAAUCUCUGAUAAAUCAUAGCCCGGAAAGUUGUAGUGAUUCAGAGACCUCUGGCUACGUGCGAACAUUGGAACAGUUACAAUCGAGCGGUAGUUCUAUAGGCAAUGUUUCCCCAAGCAGUCAGUGUCGGAAAGUGUCAUUGCGUGUGCAAGGAUAGCGCUUCUGCGAUUCCUGUAGACCGUACACUCGGAAGCUCAAUGUAAUACAUUGGGAAAACCGAAUAACUGUUAACAAUGGAUAUCUUGGUUCUC
This 363-nucleotide unclassified non-coding RNA is filed under the name fungal sp. RNAcentral's name for it is "partial internal transcribed spacer region". The stretch from base 1 to 46 matches the Rfam family "Eukaryotic small subunit ribosomal RNA", at positions 1786 to 1831 of the family's 1831-position model. The record is from RNAcentral. Lineage: Eukaryota; Fungi.